GUUGGUUAGAAACCCUCCGUUCUCACAUGCACAACAAGAAGAAGGGAGAAAGAAGAAGAAAGAGAAGAGAGGGAAUAGAGGGAGAAAAUUACUUACCUGAAACACACCAUAGAUCACCUCUGCCCUCAGGAAAAUUGAAUUGCAGUGCAGGAAUCUACCCAACUCAGAGAAGUGACUUGUCUAACCCCGACUACCAAGAUGCCGAGGCCACAUCCUUUGUGACAUACUAUUUUUAGAUGAUGGAAAUCGGUGUUGAGGCGGGACUGGACUUUAGCAGUGGUUGUAAAGCUUAUGUCAGCGAGAUGUCUGGAUUUGAUGGGCUUCACUAUUAUUCAGUUCUUCCUUCUUGAUGUAUACAUAUUUAUGAUGUAUAGUAAGUAGUAUUGCAGCUUGUGGUUGUUUUCAGAUAAGUGAUUUAUAUAAUGUAAUGUAUCACUUUAGUACAUCACCAGUGAUAGUUAUGAGAUUUUAUUACCAUACUCUGAUUUUAGUUGUGGUCUUAUUGGCAUUUGUGAAAUUAAGAUACUACAUCUGUGAUCCUGGAGGAUUAGGUUGACUAGAUAUGGGUGUCCAGUACCACAUACCUUGGCCAAUUUUGGUAGGGUGUG
This is a long non-coding RNA of Macadamia integrifolia, 608 nucleotides long. RefSeq lists it as uncharacterized. NCBI's taxonomy places the organism in Eukaryota, Viridiplantae, Streptophyta, Magnoliopsida, Proteales, Proteaceae. The transcript is spliced from 3 exons. The record is from RefSeq and is a predicted model, not a curated record.